Molecule: ribosomal RNA, 497 nt
Filed under: uncultured bacterium
Lineage: Bacteria
Description: partial 16S ribosomal RNA
Rfam family: Bacterial small subunit ribosomal RNA
Source: RNAcentral
GAUGAACGCUGGCGGCGUGCCUAAUACAUGCAAGUCGAGCGAACAGACGAGGAGCUUGCUCCUCUGACGUUAGCGGCGGACGGGUGAGUAACACGUGGAUAACCUACCUAUAAGACUGGGAUAACUUCGGGAAACCGGAGCUAAUACCGGAUAAUAUAUUGAACCGCAUGGUUCAAUAGUGAAAGACGGUUUUGCUGUCACUUAUAGAUGGAUCCGCGCCGCAUUAGCUAGUUGGUAAGGUAACGGCUUACCAAGGCGACGAUGCGUAGCCGACCUGAGAGGGUGAUCGCCCACACUUGAACUGAGACACGGUCCCGACUCCUCCGGGCGGCAGCAGUAGGGACUCUUCCGCAAUGGGCGAAUGCCUGACGGUGCAACGCCGCGUGAGUGAUGAAGGUCUUCGGAUCGUAAAACUCUGUUAUUAGGGAAGAACAAAUGUGUAAGUAACUAUGCACGUCUUGACGGUACCUAAUCAGAAAGCCACGGCUAACUACGUG